GCACUCUUUAAACGAGUCCUGUGAGGCGCGCAAGAGUGUACGGUUCGACCCAAGCACCGUCCGUCUGUCUAGGCACAGGCGGACGGCACAGGGUCGGCGUGUACCCUCUCCCGCGUCGGCAGGAGAGGGUUUUUUUC
Regulatory RNA element from Tumebacillus flagellatus, 137 nucleotides. It matches the Rfam family "PyrR binding site". From Rfam's summary of the family: This family represents the PyrR binding site and terminator structure. Lineage: Bacteria; Bacillati; Bacillota; Bacilli; Caryophanales; Alicyclobacillaceae. The record is from Rfam.